Molecule: ribosomal RNA, 351 nt
Filed under: Caulobacter sp. 602-1
Lineage: Bacteria; Pseudomonadati; Pseudomonadota; Alphaproteobacteria; Caulobacterales; Caulobacteraceae
Description: partial 23S ribosomal RNA
Rfam family: Bacterial large subunit ribosomal RNA
Source: RNAcentral
GGUAAGUUCCCACCUGCACGAAUGGCGUAACGACUUCCCCACUGUCUCGACCAGGAGCUCGGCGAAAUUGCAGUACGAGUAAAGAUGCUCGUUAAGCGCAGAAGGACGAAAAGACCCCGGGACCUUUACUAUACCUUGGUAUUGGCAUUCGGUGUGGAUUGUGUAGCAUAGGCGGAAGGCUUCGAAGCCACGGCGCCAGCCGCGGUGGAGCCGCAAGGUGAAAUACCGCUCUGUUCGCAUUGGAUGUCUAACCUCGACCAGUCAUCCUGGUCAGGGACAGUGCCUGGCGGGUAGUUUAACUGGGGCGGUUGCCUCCCAAAGAGUAACGGAGGCGCUCAAAGGUUCCCUCAG